GACGAACGCUGGCGGCGUGCUUAACACAUGCAAGUCGAACGGAAAGGCCCUGCUUUUGUGGGUGCUCGAGUGGCGAACGGGUGAGGAACACGGGAGUAACCUGCCCUUGACUUUGGGAUAACUUCAGGAAACUGGGGCUAAUACCGGAUAGGAGCUCCUGCCGCAUGGUGGGGGGUGGAAAGUUUCGGCGGUUGGGGAUGGACUCGCGGCUUAUCAGCUUGUUGGUGGGGUAGUGGCUUACCAAGGCUUUGACGGGUAGCCGGCCUGAGAGGGUGACCGGCCACAUUGGGACUGAGAUACGGCCCAGACUCCUACGGGAGGCAGCAGUGGGGAAUAUUGCACAAUGGGCGGAAGCCUGAUGCAGCAACGCCGCGUGCGGGAUGACGGCCUUCGGGUUGUAAACCGCUUUCGCCUGUGACGAAGCGUGAGUGACGGUAAUGGGUAAAGAAGCACCGGCUAACUACGUG
This 467-nucleotide ribosomal RNA is filed under the name uncultured bacterium. Its description in RNAcentral is "partial 16S ribosomal RNA". It matches the Rfam family "Bacterial small subunit ribosomal RNA", at positions 28 to 507 of the family's 1533-position model. The record is from RNAcentral.